GAAGGUCAAAUUGGGUCGUACAUUAGACCGUAUCUGAGCAGAAUGAGCCGUCCAUUAGGCUGAAUCUGAUGAUAAAAAAGGGGGUAGUCGUACACUAGACUACACUUCAAAAAUGUACCGUACACUAGGUAGCAUCUGAGGAGACGAAGGUCUAAUUGGGUCGUACAUUAGACCGUAUCUGAGCAGAAUGAGCCGUCCAUUAG
RNAcentral lists this long non-coding RNA (203 nucleotides) under Lathyrus oleraceus (garden pea). RNAcentral's name for it is "Pisum sativum (pea) long non-coding RNA (PSAT_LNC020411)". The record is from RNAcentral. Lineage: Eukaryota; Viridiplantae; Streptophyta; Magnoliopsida; Fabales; Fabaceae.